CCCUUAGAUGUUCUGGGCCGCACGCGCGCUACAAUGAUGAAUUCAACGAGUUUAUAACCUUGGUUGAAAAGCCUGGGUAAUCUUUUGAACUUUCGUCGUGAUGGGGCUAGACCCUUGCAAUUAUUGGUCUCCAACGAGGAAUUCCUAGUAAACGCAAGUCAUCAGCUCGCGUUGAUUACGUCCCUGCCCUUUGUACACACCGCCCGUCGCUACUACCGAUUGAACGGUUUAGUGAGGGCCUCGGAUUGGUCUCGGCCCGCUCUUUACCGGGCGGCGCCGUUGGUCGAGAAGACGCUCGAACUUGAUCGUUUAGAGGAAGUAAAAGUCGUAACA
This 333-nucleotide ribosomal RNA is filed under the name uncultured eukaryote. Its description in RNAcentral is "partial 18S ribosomal RNA". It matches the Rfam family "Eukaryotic small subunit ribosomal RNA", at positions 1470 to 1796 of the family's 1831-position model. The record is from RNAcentral.